UACGUAGGGUGCAAGCGUUAAUCGGAAUUACUGGGCGUAAAGCGUGCGUAGGCGGCUUUGCAAGUCAGAUGUGAAAUCCCCGGGCUUAACCUGGGAACUGCAUUUGUGACUGCAUGGCUGGAGUGCGGCAGAGGGGGAUGGAAUUCCGCGUGUAGCAGUGAAAUGCGUAGAUAUGCGGAGGAACACCGAUGGCGAAGGCAAUCCCCUGGGCCUGCACUGACGCUCAUGCACGAAAGCGUGGGGAGCAAACAGG
Molecule: ribosomal RNA, 253 nt
Filed under: uncultured bacterium
Lineage: Bacteria
Description: partial 16S ribosomal RNA
Rfam family: Bacterial small subunit ribosomal RNA
Source: RNAcentral